AGUGAACGCUGGCGGUAGGCCUAACACAUGCAAGUCGAACGGCAGCACAGUAAGAGCUUGCUCUUACGGGUGGCGAGUGGCGGACGGGCGAGGAAUACAUCGGAAUCUACUUUUUCGUGGGGGAUAACGUAGGGACACUUACGCUAAUACCGCAUACGACCUACGGGUGAAAGCAGGGGAUCUUCGGACCUUGCGCGAUUGAAUGAGCCGAUGUCGGAUUAGCUAGUUGGCGGGGUAAAGGCCCACCAAGGCGACGAUCCGUAGCUGGUCUGAGAGGAUGAUCAGCCACACUGGAACUGAGACACGGUCCAGACUCCUACGGGAGGCAGCAGUGGGGAAUAUUGGACAAUGGGCGCAAGCCUGAUCCAGCCAUACCGCGUGGGUGAAGAAGGCCUUCGGGUUGUAAAGCCCUUUUGUUGGGAAAGAAAAGCAGCAGGUUAAUACCCCGCUGUUCUGACGGUACCCAAAGAAUAAGCACCGGCUAACUUCGUG
This 492-nucleotide ribosomal RNA is filed under the name uncultured bacterium. RNAcentral describes it as "partial 16S ribosomal RNA". It matches the Rfam family "Bacterial small subunit ribosomal RNA", at positions 29 to 507 of the family's 1533-position model. The record is from RNAcentral.